AGGCCCAGGCCUGAGCCUCACAUGUGGCCCCGGGGAAGGCAUCAGGGACUCCCUUUGCCCUCCCACUGACCUCCCUGCAAACCUCCCCCAAACCAAGGGGCAUCCUCAGCUGGCCAGACCCUGGGGGAAGGGAGAGAGCCGAGGAUCACCGGCACCUGUGGCUGGGUUACCCCUGCCAUGGACCACUGGGUGAUCAAGAAGUCAUUCCAAAAUGUGAAGCGUUCUGAAGAUAUGCACAUAGCGUAAGAACCUGGUGUAAUGUGCUGGUCAAGGCGGUCUCAGAGAGGAGAUGACGUUUGAGCUGACACCUGAGGGAUGAGAAGAAAGCAGCCAUUCCCAGGGCCCAGGGGAGGCAUCCCAGGAAGCCGGAUCAGCAUGAGCAAAAGCCCUGAGGCCUGGCACAAGUUGGUCUGCUUGAGAAGCAGGAGAGAGCCCUGAGCAUCCGGAGUGCAGCAAGCGAGAUGAGCAAGUCAAGAUGCAGAAGGACUCUCUGGCUUGUCCAAGGUCACACGGCUGUUAGGAGCAGAGCAGCGUCCUGGUGCCCAAGCCCUGAGGUCCCCAGCACACUGCCUCUGCAAUGGCCACAACUGUCCAAAGACUAAGCUGACUCUCACACCUGGUAGUGUCUGUGGUCAUUCACUGUGGAUGGAAGUGGAGAAAUGCAGAAAACAGAAACACAGCUUCCCCUUUUCUGUCAUAUUUCUGUAUCGUUGGUGUUUGGAGCCAGUUGAGCACAAAGGGCCCCUGAGUGCUGUUUCCUUGUGAUAUUUGGGGGUUAACAGCUUCCCCUCAUCUCUUAAUUACCUGCCCUCCUUCACUUCAGCUGCACAUUCGUUAAAGAAUGCUCUCCCAGGAGAAGAGCUUGGUGUUAUCACCCACAAACAUCUUAGAAAACUAAUGCUAUCCUUGAGUGCCUGUUUACAGAAACAUUUUUACAUCUCACUUGACAUUUCCAGCAAAUCUUGAUCCUUCCAGCCAGGAAUAUUAAUAUAUAGGUCUUGAAAAGUGCAAGAGGCUCUUCCAUGGCUCCAAGCACAUUUGACACUCUUCCUUUUCUGAUCCCCAAGCAGACAGUGAUGAAACCCCAAUAGCUGGGCGAAUACUCAUCCAACAGGAAGAAUCAGUUUUAAGAGCUGGGUUCUCAGGGUCAAAUACUGUGGUGUGGCCUUUUGGUUGUAAUGAGUUGAAUGGAGGUCUCAAAAAAGAUAUAUCCAUGUUCUAAUCCCCAGAACUUGUGAAUGUGACCUUAUUUGGAAAAAGAGUCCUUUUGGAUGUAAUUAAGUUAAGGAUUUUGAGAUAAGGAGAUCAUCCUGGGUUAUCUGGGUGGACCCUAAAUCUGUUGACAAUGUCCUUAUGAGAGACCCCAGAGGGCACAGACAGGAAAGGAAGAGGCAAUGUGGCCCCAGAGGCUGAGAUCAGAGCUCUGUGGCCACAAUUCGAGGAACACCUGGAGCCACCAGAAGCUGGAGGAGGCAAGGAACAGAUUCUCCCUGAUCCUCUGGAUACAGAGGGAGAAUAGCCUGGCCGACACCUUGAUUUUGGACUUCUGGCCCCCAGAACUGAGAAAAUUAACUUCUGUUGUGUUAAGCAGCCACGUUUGUAGCAGUUCAUCAUAGCAGCCCUGGGAAAGAAAUACAGUGGGCUUCCAGUUCAAGGAGGAUCCACGAGGCCUGAGCUCCAUCUGUCGAUUGGAAUCACCAAAAUCAAGGUUGUGUGCGGGUAACGCCAGCACAAGCAGCUCAUGCUGGCAAAAGCAGACCAAACCGGCUCACGCAACGUCAAGUCAUCUUGAAGUGGUUCACGCACCACAGUGAGUGGUAUUGAUUGUGGUUAAGAGCCAGGUUCAAGGAGGUUUAUCACUCAGUAGCCAGGUAAAGCAGGUUCCAGGCCUGGCUCCACCACUCAACAACCGGGGAAACAGGGGUAAGCUUCUUAAAUGCUCCGUGUCUCAGUUUCUCCAUGUGUAAAAUGAGGGCACUAAUAACAGUCCCUACCUGCAAGGUGGUUGUGAAGAUGAUAUGAAUUCAUAUAUGUAAGGCACUUGGAAUUGACAAUACUGACAUACCACAAAUACAAAAUAAGUGUCUGCCAUUAUUAAGCUAACCCAAAUCAAAACAGACACAGAUGAAUUCAGAAUACUCAAGUAGACUCAGAUAUGUUCAAAUGGAGCCCACCAGUUAAAACUAGCUGAGACCAGUGUAAACUGGCUCAAGCCUUUUGGGCCAAGCUGUACUAAAACCAGAUUAAAUCAGUCAAAACAGGAUUAGAAUAGUCAGUCUGGAAUCUCUACACGCACGCCUGCACAUUUGAGGGGUCUCUCUCCGCCCCCUCUGUACAUCAGAUUGAAUAGUAACAAACAGUCCCACAUCUCCCAAGAAUGAGCAUAAUGGACAAGCAGAGGGCCGCCAAUGUCCCCACCAGAACGAGCAUAAUGGACAGGCAGGGGGCCGCCGAUGUCCCCACCUAAGACAUGCAGACAUUUCCCUGUCGGAAACGCGCUCAGAUUCUUUACGGCAGGUCAAGGCUCAAAUAUCAGAAACCAAUUUCACUCACACUAACUAAACAAGAGACGGGAUCUGUGGUUCAGGAUCCUGAGGCACUCGUGAAACUCAUGGGUAGGAAGGUCAGCUGGAGCCAGUUAGUGUCUGGAAGGCUAUCAGAGCUCAAGGCCCCUCUCUCUGGCCCAUGGAGGGGAAUUAACUCCCUCAAAGGCAGGAGCUCAGUGAGCAGGAGGCUGGUAGGGAGGUGGGAGCUGCAGGUGACCGGUUAGAAGUCAGAGGCUGUUGUGGGGGGCAGCUUGCACCAGUGGACACAAGAGCCCCAACUUGUGGGCACUUGGAAGUCCCAGGCUGUUCCCUGGCUCCACCCCGUCCUCUGGGGUGCCUGCUUCACAGAGCACCAAUAAUGCGUUUGUGUCACUCUAUGUUUCCUGGCAGGAGCAGACCUGCAGAGGGGCCAGAAGACACCUGGCCGGGUGGGGAGCAGCCCCUCCGUAAUAACAAUCGGAACCUGGGAAGAUAAGUAGAGUCCCAGGGGAGGGACAGAGUUUCCCCUGUGUCACCACAUGGCUACUUUGACACAAAUGCACGUGGGCAGAGAGAGGCAUGCAGGUCAAGGGCCUGGCAGGGAGUCAGGGGCCCUCAGUGCCAGUCCUGGCUCUGCCUCUGCCUCUGACACGCCAUGUGACCUUGAGCAAGUCACCACCCUGUCUGGGCUUCGCUAACCCAUAUACGGAAUGAGAAGGUAUCGUCCCUGGUCACUGCAGGUUUUAAAUCAUGUAGUGAGAGAGAGCUCAUUUGGUCCAACUCUCUGCAACUGAAGGAAUGGAGACACCAAGGGGGAGUAAUCGGCCGCAGUGAUGAGUGGGUGGCAAAGGGAGCUAUCACUACCAUUGAUUAUCCAGCUACUUGUGCUUGAUAAACUCCCUCCUGGUGGAAUGGGCUUUCCCACAUCCAGCAGCACAAAUGCUGUGAGCAUCUACUACGGGCUGGGCACCUUCUCUGGGCUGGCACUUGACAUGGGUUAUCUCAUUUAACUCCCUAACAACCCUAUGUGGUAUUAUCAUCCCCAUUUCACAGGCGGCAAAACUGAAUCCCAGAGAGAAGACUCACUCAGACACAGCUAUCUGAACACUCUUUUCCAGUUCCCCUAGGGCAGCAGAGGAAGCAAGGUGGGGGGAAGCCAGUGGUCAAGGAUUCCAUGCGGAAUGUACCCUAGAAUUAACCCAUGGAGAGAGGGGUCUCGCUCUGUUGCCCAGGCUGUAGUACAAUGGUGCAAUCUCGGCUCACUGCAACCUCUGCCUCUGGGUUCAAGCGAUCCUUUGCCUCCGCCUCCUGAGUAGCUGGAAUUACAGGCAUGCACCAUGAUGCUUGGUUAAUUUUUGUAUUUUUAGUAGAGUCAGGGUUUUGCUAUGUUGGCCAGGCUGGGCUCCAACUUCUGGUCUCAAGUGAUCCACCCGCCUCGGGCUCCCAAAGUGCCAGGAUUACAGGCGUGAGCCACUAUGCCUGGCCAAAAGUGGCGAUGUGUUCUUAAUGCCCAUUUUCACAUAAAAGGUAAUAAUCUACCCACACCAUGCUGUACCUUGUUUGUUUUUUGUGUGUUUGUUUGUUUGUUUUUUGACAGAGUCUUGCUCUGUCAGCUAGGCUAGAGUGCAGUGGCACAAUCUCAGCGCGCUGCAACCUCCGCCUCCCGGGUUCAAGCGAUUAUCCUGCCUCAGCCUGCUGGGUAGUUGGAAUUACAGGAGCCUGCCACCAUGCCCAGCUAAUUUUUGUGCUUUUAAUAGAGAUGGGGUUUCACCAUGUUGGCCAGGCUGGUCUCGAACUCCUGACCUCAAGUGAUCCAUCCACCUUGGCCUCCCGAAGUGCUGGGAUUACAGGCGUGACCCACCGCGCCUGGCUCUUGUUUGUUUUUUUAACUAAUCACACAUCUUAGAGACCUUUAUCAGUAAUUAGAGAGCUUCCUGGAUCUUUUAUAUCACUGCAUAAUAAAUAUUCUAUUAUAUAGAUUAGAAUAAUUCAAAUUACCAGUUCCCUAUUGGUGGACAUUUGUUUCUGGUUUGUUUGUUUUUUCUAUUUUUUUUCUUAUCACAAACAGUGCUGCAAUAAGUAAUUGUGCAUAUGCACUGUUUCACAUGUGUGCAGGUAUACCUGCAGGAUAAAUUCCCAAAAAUGAAUUCCUGAUUUAAGAGUAUCUUUUUUUUUUUGAGACAGGGUCUUGAUCUGUUGCCCAGGCUAAAGUGCAGUGGCAUGAUCACGAUGCACUGCAGCCUCAGCCUCCUGGGCUCAAGCGAUCUUCCCACCUCAGCUUCCCAAGUAGCUGGGACUACAGGCAUGUGGCACCACGGCUGGUUAAUAUUCUCAGUGUAACAGAGUUUCAUCACAUUGCCCAGGCUGGUCUUGAACUCCUGGGCUCAAGCAAUCCUCCCACCUCAGCAUCCCAAAGUGCUGGGAUCACAGGCAUGUGCCACCAUGCCUGGCAGGUUGAAAGUACUGUAUGAGUUAUCUAUUGCUGCAUACCAGAUUAUCAUAAACUCAGCAGUUUAAAAAAACACCCAUUGUUUAGCUCACAGUCUCACCUGAACUGGGUGCUGAGUUCAGGGUGAAACCAAGGUGGCGGCCAGGCUUGGUUCUUUUUUGGAAGCUCUGGGGGGAAAAUCUACUUCCAAGGCCAUUCUUGUUGUUGGCAGAAUCUGGAUCCUUGUGGUUGUAGAACUGAGUCUCUGGUUUCUUGCAGGCUUCCAGGAGGGGCCUCCCUGGGCUCCCGGAGGACACCCACAGUCCUCACCAUGCAGCUCCCUCCAACAUCAAGCCAGGAAUGGCCGAACAGAUCUUUCUCAUGCUUCAAAUCUCUGAUGAAUUUCUCUUGCCAGAGAAAGCUUGCCAUUUUCCAAGGGCUCACCCAGUCAGAUCCGUCCAACAAGGGUGAUCUCCCUAACAUUAGGUUAACUGACUUGGAACCUCAGUUAAUCUGCAAAAUCCCUUUUGUCAUAUAAUGGAAUACAAUCAUUUGGUUCACAUGCUCAUCUUAUUCACAGGCCCUACACUCAUACAAGGGCAGGGGACCACAGAAGAGUGAAGGCCAGUGAGGGUCACCUCAGAAUUCUGCCCAACACCGGUGUUUUGUAAUUUGGGUAGAUGUUGCCAUGUUGUCCUCCGUGGGGAUUAUGCAGAGGGAACUCUCCUCCUCCAGCAACAGUACAUGUACCUGCUUUUCCAUGGUGCUGCUUAGAGAAUGUUAUCAAACCUUUGGAUUUCUGCCAGUCUGAUAGGAGAAAAAUGGAAUCUCAAUUGUAUUUUAAAAUUGUAAUUAUCGCCUUAUGAAUAAGGCUGAGCAUUUCCUCAAAAGCAUAAGAGCCAUUUAUAUACUUUUUUCUUUAUGGCUUCUGGUUUUGAGGCAUAGAAAGGUCUUUCUAGCUCUAAAGUUAAUCAGAAAUUCUCUGUUUUCUUUUUGCUUUUUUUAAAAUUUUACUUUAAGUCCUUGGAUACAUGUGCUGAACGUGCAGGUUUGUUACAUAGGUAUACAUGGGCCAUGGUGGUUUGCUGCACCUAUCAACCCGUCAUCUAGGUUUUAAGCUCCACAUGCAUUAGGUAUUUGUCCUAAUGCUCUUCCUCCUCUUUCCCCAUGCCCCCAACAGGCCCCGGUGUGUGAUGUUCCCCUCCCUGUGUCCAUGUGUUCUCAUUGUUUAGCUCCCACUUAUGAGUGAGAACAUGCAGUGUUUGGUUUUCUGUUCCUGUGUUAGUUUGCUGAGGAUGAUGGUUUUCAGCUUCAUCCAGGUCCCUGCAAAGGACAUGAACUCAUUCUUUUUUAUGGCUGCAUAGUAUUCCAAGUUGCAUAUGUGCCACAUUUUCUUUAUCCAGUGUAUCAUUGAUGGGCUUUUGGGUUGCUUCCAAGUCUUUGCUAUCGUAAGUAGUGCUGCAAUAAACAAAUGUAUGCAUGUGUCUUUAUAGUAGAAUGAUUUAUAAUCCUUUGGGUAUAUACCCAGUAAUGGGAUUGCUGGGUCAAAUGGUAUUUCUAGUUCUAGAUCCUCGAGGAGUCGCCACACUGUCUUCCACAAUGGUUGAGCUAAUUUACACUCCCACCAACAGUGUAAACGUGUUCCUAUUUCUCCACAUCCUCACCAGCAUUUGUUAUUUCCAGACUUUUUAAUGAUUGCCAUUCUAACUGGCAUGAGAUGGUAUCUCCUUGUGGUUUUGAUUUGCAUUUCUCAGCUCAUUGCAACCUCUGCCUCCCAGGUUCAAGCAAUUCUCCUGCCUCAGCCUCCAGAGUAGCUGGGAUUACAGGGGCACGCCACCAAGCCCAGCUAAUUUUUGUAUUUUUAGCAGAAACAGGGCUUCACCAUGUUGGCCAGUCUGGUCUCAAACUCCUGAUCUCAAGUGAUCCAUCCACCUCAGCCUCCCAAAGUGCUGGGAUUAUAGGCGUGAGCCACCACGGCUGGCCAUUCUCCUGUGUUUUCUUCUGGGGCUUUUAUACUUUCAUUUUUUAAAAUCCAUAGUUUCUUGGAGCUGGAGGUGUCCCUUGUCAUUUUCUCAUCAGUGAGUGCAAAGCAGGAUCCCAAAAGGAUUGGAGUCCAGAGUAGAGAAAGGAGCUGCCGCGGUGGAGUCUGUUCAGUGCAGGCUCUGAUCUCCUUCAGCCCUGCCAGGAAUCCCAGCCAGCAGAUCUUCUUCCAGCUUCCCUUUCUCCAGCACUCUUGAUCUUCUGGGCUGGCACAGGGUCCAGGGUUGAUGGGGAUCCUAGCUGCCUGAGGAGCUUCCAGUCUGGAGGGUGAUACAAGCACAUGGCCAGACCUGAAUUCAAGCCAUGAGAGAGAUUCAGAACCUGGGCUGGGAGCGCAGGGGAGGGAGCGGGGUGCUGAUGGGGGUGGAUGGGAGGCUCCAGAGAGGAGGUGGCGUCUGAACUGAACCUUAAGAAUGAGGGGAAAUGUAAUGGCAGCGAUGAGAAAGGGGAGGCACUUCAGUGCAGAGAACAGCAAGAGCAAAGACAAGGAGGUGGAAAAUCAGCCAGAAACCUAGCCUGGAGAGGGUUUAGUGGACCAUGGGUCCUUGAUGGUAGAGACACAACAUGACUUAUCUCUGUGUCCCAUCCUCUGUGCCAGAGGCGGCAUCGACCAGACUUGGACAAAUGAAGCAGAAGGGACAGGGGACUUAGAAUACUAGGCUGCAUCAUUUUCUUUUUACUCUGACAGUGAGAAGCAAAGACCUCCACAAAGAAAGAAGCCCUUGGCUGUGUCAUCAUUUUAGAAUCUGGGCACUCUCUGCACACCACUGCCCCCUCAUGGCUGAUCUAGGAAUUCUCUCUAAAUCCCAGACUGAAGGUGAGGAGGAGGCUCAGUGAGUCUUAGAGAUUUGAAAAGCCGUGAAAUCCUGGUUGGAGAACAUCUGAGUCCAAAGGGCCCUCAGAGACUCUCUGACUUCCUCAUUA
RNAcentral lists this long non-coding RNA (7917 nucleotides) under Homo sapiens (human). RNAcentral's name for it is "HSALNT0291194". Lineage: Eukaryota; Metazoa; Chordata; Mammalia; Primates; Hominidae. The record is from RNAcentral.